CACUCCUACGGGAGGCAGCAGUGGGGAAUAUUGGACAAUGGGCGCAAGCCUGAUCCAGCCAUGCCGCGUGAGUGAUGAAGGCCCUAGGGUUGUAAAGCUCUUUCACCGGUGAAGAUAAUGACGGUAACCGGAGAAGAAGCCCCGGCUAACUUCGUGCCAGCAGCCGCGGUAAUACGAAGGGGGCUAGCGUUGUUCGGAUUUACUGGGCGUAAAGCGCACGUAGGCGGACUAUUAAGUCAGGUGUGAAAUCCCGGGGCUCAACCCCGGAACUGCCUUUGAUACUGGUAGUCUUGAGUUCGAGAGAGGUGAGUGGAAUUCCGAGUGUAGAGGUGAAAUUCGUAGAUAUUCGGAGGAACACCAGUGGCGAAGGCGGCUCACUGGCUCGAUACUGACGCUGAGGUGCGAAAGCGUGGGGAGCAAACAGGAUUAGAAACCCCAGUAGUCCC
RNAcentral lists this ribosomal RNA (446 nucleotides) under uncultured organism. RNAcentral's name for it is "partial 16S ribosomal RNA". It matches the Rfam family "Bacterial small subunit ribosomal RNA", at positions 334 to 797 of the family's 1533-position model. The record is from RNAcentral.